RNAcentral lists this ribosomal RNA (543 nucleotides) under uncultured bacterium. RNAcentral describes it as "bacterial SSU rRNA". It matches the Rfam family "Bacterial small subunit ribosomal RNA", at positions 355 to 912 of the family's 1533-position model. The record is from RNAcentral.
UGGGGAAUCUUGGACAAUGGGGGCAACCCUGAUCCAGCCAUGCCGCGUGAGUGAUGAAGGCCUUAGGGUCGUAAAGCUCUUUCGCCUGUGAAGAUAAUGACGGUAGCAGGUAAAGAAACCCCGGCUAACUCCGUGCCAGCAGCCGCGGUAAUACGGAGGGGGUUAGCGUUGUUCGGAAUUACUGGGCGUAAAGCGCACGUAGGCGGACCAGAAAGUUGGGGGUGAAAUCCCGGGGGCUCAACCCCGGAACUGCCUCCAAAACUAUUGGUCUAGAGUUCGAGAGAGGUGAGUGGAAUUCCAAGUGUAGAGGUGAAAUUCGUAGAUAUUUGGAGGAACACCAGUGGCGAAGGCGGCUCACUGGCUCGAUACUGACGCUGAGGUGCGAAAGUGUGGGGAGCAAACAGGAUUAGAUACCCUGGUAGUCCACACCGUAAAACGAUGAAUGCCAGUCGUCGGGUAGCAUGCUAUUCGGUGACACACCUAACGGAUUAAGCAUUCCGGCCUGGGGAGUACGGUCGCAAGAUUAAAACCUCAAAUGAAUUG